AGCUUGCUCCCUGAUGUUAGCGGCGGACGGGUGAGUAACACGUGGGUAACCUGCCUGUAAGACUGGGAUAACUCCGGGAAACCGGGGCUAAUACCGGAUGCUUGUUUGAACCGCAUGGUUCAAACAUAAAAGGUGGCUUCGGCUACCACUUACAGAUGGACCCGCGGCGCAUUAGCUAGUUGGUGAGGUAAUGGCUCACCAAGGCAACGAUGCGUAGCCGACCUGAGAGGGUGAUCGGCCACACUGGGACUGAGACACGGCCCAGACUCCUACGGGAGGCAGCAGUAGGGAAUCUUCCGCAAUGGACGAAAGUCUGACGGAGCAACGCCGCGUGAGUGAUGAAGGUUUUCGGAUCGUAAAGCUCUGUUGUUAGGGAAGAACAAGUACCGUUCGAAUAGGGCGGUACCUUGACGGUACCUAACCAGAAAGCCACGGCUAACUACGUGCCAGCAGCCGCGGUAAUACGUAGGUGGCAAGCGUUGUCCGGAAUUAUUGGGCGUAAAGGGCUCGCAGGCGGUUUCUUAAGUCUGAUGUGAAAGCCCCCGGCUCAACCGGGGAGGGUCAUUGGAAACUGGGGAACUUGAGUGCAGAAGAGGAGAGUGGAAUUCCACGUGUAGCGG
RNAcentral lists this ribosomal RNA (620 nucleotides) under Bacillus sp. 23(2013). Its description in RNAcentral is "bacterial SSU rRNA". It matches the Rfam family "Bacterial small subunit ribosomal RNA", at positions 77 to 681 of the family's 1533-position model. Lineage: Bacteria; Bacillati; Bacillota; Bacilli; Caryophanales; Bacillaceae. The record is from RNAcentral.